Molecule: transfer RNA, 70 nt
Filed under: Stegodyphus mimosarum
Lineage: Eukaryota; Metazoa; Arthropoda; Arachnida; Araneae; Eresidae
Rfam family: tRNA
About the family: Transfer RNA (tRNA) molecules are approximately 80 nucleotides in length. Their secondary structure includes four short double-helical elements and three loops (D, anti-codon, and T loops).
Source: Rfam by way of RNAcentral
ACCUUCAUGGUGUAAUGGUAGCACACUCUGCAUAUUCAAGAGGUUCAGGGUUCAAGUCCCGGUGAGGGCA